ACCGACUCCUCGCCUCGCUCGGCCCCAGCUUCCUCGGGCCCGUUGCCAUCCUCCGCGUCUGGAGCUUCUGCCUCUUCUACGUCAUGGCCGAGCUCUGGGGCAGCGUCGUCAUAUCCGUCCUCUUCUGGGGGUUUGCCAAUCAGGUACCGACGGUUCACCCAAUUCUAUUACUGUGUCCUCUCCGUCACAGCGAAUAAUUUAAUAAUGGCGAAAUUCUCUACUGAACUGCUAGUGAUUCAUGGUUAGACAUUUUAAAAUUGCAAGUUGUAAUUGAUGCUGGCUCUGUUGUGGACUCUGAAUAUCCCCUUUCUAUAAAAAAAAACUUUGGAAUGGCUGGUGAGGUAUGGUUGUCUUUAUGCGCAGAAAUUAGCGGAGUUCCUUUCAAAGAUCAAGUGCAGUUUAUAGUUGUCCGAUGUGCUGUUUAUUUAUAUAUCUUCAUUCAGGUGCUUUUGAUCAUUGCAGAUUACUACAGUUGAAGAGGCCAAAGAGUUCUACCCGCUGUUUGGGCUUGGUGCCAAUGUGGCCCUCAUCUUCUCUGGGCGCACGGUGAAAUAUUUCUCAAACAUGAGGAAGAAUUUGGGUCCUGGAGUGGAUGGUUGGGCAAUUUCGUUGAAGGCCAUGAUGAGCAUAGUGGUUGUACUGGGUCUUAUCAUCACCGGUAUCUAUUGGGGGGUGAACAAGUUUGUUAUUGAUAACUCAUCUAUGCCCGUGGUCGAGCGGAAAAAGAAGGUUGGACCUGGCAGAAUUUCUACUAUUCUUAUGCUUGUGUUUAUGGAUCUCUCCUUAACGAUUCUGUAAACAUAAAAACUUUCAGGACAAGCCAAAGCUCAGCAUGGGUGAGAGCAUGAAGGUUCUGUUGUCAUCUCGGUAUGUGAGGGAUCUUGCCACAUUGGUCGUUGCUUAUGGAAUAAGCAUUAACCUUGUGGAGGUGACAUGGAAAUCAAAAUUGAAAGCACAGGUAUGUUAAUCUCAAAGCAUGUAUCUGGCCUGUUAUUAACACAUAUACAGUAUAGUUGCCAAUUAAUUUUCUGCUGGUGUCUUGUAGUUCCCAAGCCCAAAUGAAUAUUCUUCAUUCAUGGGCGAUUUCUCAACUGCCACCGGCAUAGCUACCUUUACAAUGAUGUUGUUAGGGAGAGUAAUCCUCAGAAAGUUCGGGUGGGGAGUUGCAGCUACGAUCACACCUGCAGUGUUACUUCUCACAGGAGUUGGGUUCUUCUCACUGAUUUUGUUUGGUGAGCCAUUGACUCCUCUUAUGACCAAGUUUGGGAUGACACCUUUGCUUGCGGCAGUCUAUGUUGGAGCAAUGCAGAACAUUUUCAGUAAGAGUGCAAAGUACAGUCUGUUUGAUCCUUGCAAAGAGAUGGCAUACAUUCCUUUGGAUGAGGAUAUGAAGGUGAGUCUCCAAAAAAUACCGAUCCUUGUAUAGAUUCAUAUCAAAUGCAUAUCUUGCCUUAAAUGACACUUGUAUUGGUAUGAUUGAUCCAAUGAGCAUAAUAAUAAUUUAAGUUGUAAUAUUACUUAACCUUAUGAGAGGAGUAGGUGUGAUCAGCAUACAUCAUAACUUGUAGAACACGAGAUUCCUAUUUAUAAUGAAGCCACAUUAAUUUCUUUGAUGUGAAAUAUGUUGUGCUGAUUUGUCCUUGACUCUAGUUGUACCUGUAUCUCUAAAACACUGUGAUAAGUGACUUAGGUGAAGUGAAAGGUUCAUAAUCAUCUACUAAAAGUCAUGUAAACAUACAUAAUAAGAUUUUACGCUUUUAUUGAUGAUGGCAAUUAUAUCCCCCCACCAAAAAAAAUCUAUUGUUGAGUUUUAUGAAACCUUCAUAUUCAUUUGUUGCUUUUGUUCUCAACUCUUUGUGGUCAUGAUAACAGGUUAAAGGUAAAGCAGCUAUUGACGUUGUCUGCAACCCCUUGGGGAAAUCUGGAGGUGCUUUGAUCCAGCAGUUCAUGAUCCUGUCAUUUGGAUCUCUUGCGAAUUCGACACCCUACCUUGGUGGAAUACUUCUGGUGAUUGUUCUUGCAUGGCUGGGUGCUGUAAGGUCCCUCGACUCACAGUUUUCAACCCUGGCAAAGCAAGAUCUCGAGAAAGAAAAGAUGCUGAAAGCACAGGCCGUCGAAGUCGAAACAACUGCCAAAGUAGUCGGGACUGGAAAUGGUUCUCUCCAAGAAACUCUAGCUAGUGAGCCAUCUGCAAAUGGUGCAGCUACCAAACAGUCUCGAGAACCUGAGAGUACAACCACGGAGAAAUCAGGCCAAGAACCUGAGAGUACAACCACGGAGAAAUCAGGCCAACAGUCUCAAUAAGUUUUCCCCAAGAAAUUUAGUUAGUACAAGCCUUUGGAGGAACCAAAAGUUUCUUGGGCCUUUUAUCUGGAGCUGCUGAAGAAGGCAGGAAUGAUUUGAGAAAUAAGAAGGCCUGUUCUUCUGUUGUUGUAGCAUAUUUUUUACUUCACCGUGAGUAUCUGUAGCUGUUUGUUUCAUUCCAUAGGUAUAAACUGUUUCUGUUAUUAAAAAUUUUGGGAAGUCUGCUUCAUGAUAAUCUUCAAUAGCUAGUCCUUUGUUGUGAAAAAUUAUUUUGCCUGGUUUUGAUAUUUAUGGGUACCAUGUAUUUUCAAUUUAUUCAUAUUCCUACUAAACAGUGAUGUAGUCAGGUUCCUUUCAUUACACUUAAGGUUCAUGGGCUUUCCCAGGACAAAUACCCUUUACCGCAGGCCCACAGCCUUAGGUGAGCAUAAAAGGCGGACGUUGUCUUGGUUCAGGACUCGUUUAGAUGUGUUUUUUUUUUGGAUUUCGCUACUGUAGCACUUUUGUUUUUUCGUUACAAAUAUUUUCUAAUUAUAGACUAACUAGGGUUAAAAAAAUUGUUUUGCGAUUUACAGACAAACUGUGUAAUUAGUUUUUAUUUUCGUCUAUAUUUAGUGCUUUAUGCAUGUACCGCAAGAUUUGAUUUUUUUGUUUUUUUUUUGAUAAUGGAUAUAAAAUUCGGUCUCUACAUCUGAGGAUGUACACAGCCCAUGCAAAAUUUGAUGUGACGGAGAAUCUUAAAAACUUUUUAGAUUUCGGUGAGAACUAAACAAGGCCUCAAUCAGUGAUGCAGAAUGCUCAUACUAACGGGAUGUGUUUGUGUGAUCGCUAGAGAGUGGAACUAGGUGUCGAAAAAAAGAGUGGAACUGGGAAUAUUUUUGUGUGAUCGCUGGAGAGAGAGCGCAAUGGGCGUGCACAGGCAUAACUGCUACACAAAGAACCUUACCCGAACUUGGGCCUUGUUUACUUCCAAUUUUUUUUUUUGCAAAAUAGAAAUAAUAGCACUUUCGUUUGUAUUUGACAAAUAUUGUUCAAUCAUGGCUUAACUAAGCUUAAAAAAUUCGUCUCGCAAAUUAUAGGUAAAUUAUGUAAUUAGUUAGUUCUUUUAUCUAUAUUUAGUGCUCUAUAUAUGUACCGUAAGAUUCGAUGUGAUGAAGAAUAUGAAAAAUUUUACAAAAUAUUUUGGUAACUAAACAAGGCCUUGAUAUGUGCCGAAUCCUUUGCCAGGGCUUGAGACGUCGCAAACCCUCCUGAAAGAGAGGGUGCCCUCGGGGACGCAAACACAUAGGGGCCGCCAUAAGGUGUAUAGUCCUGAGCCGAUAUCCCCUUUCGUUCUUGAAAGAAGCAUAAUGCAUGGGACAUGAUAGUGGCUGGCCGACUAGCUCCCUGGUACCGAACUACCGAUACAGCAGUGAUCUCACUUUACUGACAUGAUUGCAACAAGGUCUGAGCUGGUCACUGUAUCCUUCUAAAUCUGCAGGAGUGUUAAGCAUUCAACCCACAGUUGACAGUAGGCACCAAUCAUGGAUACAAUCAGUGGUGAAGCUAGAGCAAAUUAGAGAGGGUUACACUUAGCUUGUGGGUGCAUAUACAUGCGUUUUAGGGGAUGCAUAUAUGGUAAAAUUUUGAUUAAAUCUACUGUUUUGCAAUUUUUGAGGGGUGCAUUUACACCCCCUGCUUACAACACAGCUUCGCCCCUGGAUACAAUCAGGGAGUAAAAAUCAAUGUACUCUCUGCCCCACCCCCAUCUCGCUGUUGUUUCGUCUCAAAAUUCUGUACCAUCCAUGGAGAGGAGCCCAGGCCUGUGAAUGAACUGUCCAUCCAUGAUCCAUCCAUGAAGAGUAGGCAAGCUAUCCUGCAUUGUAUAUACGUACCAUAUAACCAUCAUCAAUAAAAAGGAAAAAGUUCUAUUGCAUGAGUCUAAAUUCGCCUCCCCCAAUCGGAAACUUGAUUUUUAGACUCCCCUAAUUCAAAUUGUUCGAUUUGCCUCUUUGAGUGAUUUUGAGUGAUGUGUAGCCACAUCAAUCGUCCUAUGUGGCACCAUGUUAGCAAUGAGGGAGCUAAAUCAGAUUUUCAAAAUAGUUAACGGAGGUCAAUUAGACUUUAUAAAAAUUAUAUAAAUAUUUUUUCUUUUAAAAAGGUAUUUUCUAGAAUAAAUAUGUAUUUAAAAAUACUAAAUAUGAUUCAAUAUUAUAAAAUUCAACAAAAUUCGUUUAGACUAAGAAAAACAUGAAACUAGUUUCAUAGUUUUCCAAAAAAUCAUGCUCUACAUUAAGAUUUGACGCGAUGUAGGACAUCUGAUGUGACGCGACAUCAGCAAAAAGCGCUUUCAAAAUCAAUGAGAGAGGUAUUUAGACAGGUUCAAGAGUUGUAGAUAUCUAUGACUUUUUUGGAAGGAGCUAUCUACAAAUUUGUUUUUUUACAUACAAAUUUGGUUUUUUGAAAGAGGCAAAUUAGACUCGCGUUUCAUGGAAAAAGUCCACUUUACCUCCCUAAACUAUCCUUGAAGUUUAGUUUUUCUUCGUAAACUCGAAAACCAAGUAAACCAACUCCCUCAACUUUUAAAACCCCCGAUUAUAAGUGUUUUUCAAAGGUGGUUUUGUCUUUUUAUUUUUUUAUUUAUUUUGAUGGAAUAUUUGAAAAAUUAUAAUAAAUCACAAAAAAAAUUAUAAAAAAAUCUAGUUUUGUUGGACUCCACAUGAGUAGAUAUACAUAGUGAACAUAUGAAAUGGUAUGAUUUAGUAUAAAGUUUUUGUUAUAGCUUUAGAUCUAUGCUUUUCUAUAAUUAUUCUAUAGCUGCAGUUUCCGUGAUCAAUUUUUAUGGUGGUCUAAUUAUCGUAUGCUUUAACUAUAGUAAAAAUUUCAUACUAAUUUAUAUUUUUACACACUUUUAACUAUUUAAAACUAUUUAAUGAGGAAAAAUCAUAAAUGCAAAAUCUAGUUUUAUCGGAUAACUUUUUUUAUAAUGGGAUAGCUAUUAUAUGAUCGAAAUGUAGUAAAUUUUUCAUGCUCAUUGGAUAAUGUGUUAUAGAAUUUUAUAGGUUUUUGCUCAUUAAAUAGUUUUAAAAGACAAAACCUUUGAAAACCACCUAUAAUUAGGUCAUGGAGGCAAAAUGAAUGGUCUCAAAAGUUGAAGGAGGUAGUUUACCCAUUUUUGAAGUUCAGAUAGGAAGAUUUUGAAGAUUAUUCAGGAGGUAAAAUAAAAUGGACUUUUUCCUUCCAUUAAAAUCUUCACCAGUUGUGCGGAAAGCCCACAGGCAAAUGUUCCAAUUGGGCCAUAUCCUUAAGUGGGCCAAGACUGAGAACAGGUUGCUCGACCUUCUGCAGUCUGCACAGCGGGGGACUCGGCCCAUCCACACUACGCCAUCGCCUCGUAAGCGAAACGGACGGCGGAGAUCGGCUGGCCGCAGAUAGCGAGGGGACACGCCGACCCGUGAUUUUUUCCAGAUCAGAUCCGACAGCUCGCCUUCCCGUCUUUCCCUCUCCCCCACACCCACCCGGGCCGGUCGUCGUCGUCGCGGCGUGAGCGAGCGAGCGAGCGAGCGGGGAAAACCCAAAACCCUAGCGCCCACCGCCCCGUCGCCCCGUCGCCGGCGGCCGCCAGAGUAGAGAGAUGGCGGUGGACGAGGUGAAUUCGGUCUACGUCGGCGGCCUUCCCUACGAGGCCAACGAGGAGAUGCUUCGCGACGCCUUCGGGUACUACGGCACCAUCGUCUCCGUCAAGGUCUGCGCCCCCCCCCCCCCCCCCCCCCCUCUACUCUCCGUUUAGUCAGCUCCCGCGUUUGCUCUGGAGAAAGUUUGACGGGCGCUGCUGGUUUGAUUCGAUUCAGUGAGGCUGUGCUGCGGCCGGUGAUUCUUUUUUUUUUUGAAAUAUGGCGGAAAAGCGGGUUGAUUUUAUUACGUGGGUUUUUUUUUUGGUGAAGUUUUUCUUGGGCAAAAGGUUCUUCUCCUUUUUUAGGAUCUUAGUGAGGAUCUCGGGAGUGUUUGUCUUUAAAAAACAACAAACAACAUGAGAACACGAACGAAAGAUGGGAGGUGGUGUCCGCCCAUGGCCAGUUUCUGAUGGCUAAACUAUUUUAAAGCCAAGAUGAAUUGGCAGGUAGAAUUGUUCUGAGUUGAGCUCAGAUUUUUAGCUCAUCUGGUUGCUGUAUUUGCAUGGUAGAUGUUUGGUUUUCUUUUGGAUGCCGAGGGCAUUAUGGUUUAUAUGUCUCGAACAUCUUACUUUUCUUCAACUGAGAGGAGUGUGAAGAUGACGGCAUCAUCAUUUGCAAAUGUGAUAUGUGGAACAUAUAGCAGUCAAUGCUUCCUAGUGCUGUAACCCACUGUUUUGAGUCUGAGAGAUUUGUUUCCUGAUUAAUCUGUGCAUUCUAGGUGAUUAAUGAUCAUUCUGUCAAAGGCAAGUGUUAUGGUUUUGUUACUUUCACUCACCCCAGAGCUGCUGAGCAAGCAAUUGCAGGCAUGGAUGGCAAGGUAUGCAGUGUGCUUUUUUUUUUGUGAACUUGGCACCUUUUCUUUAUCUUGUGUUUAACACGUCUUUUUACAGAAAUUAGGCAAUCGUAUUGUUCGAGUAAAUGAAGUGCGUACAAGAGGUCCCCGAGAUUUUGGUCGAGAUGGUUUCAGACGAGAUCCAAGAAGGUAUGGUAGAGAUCCAUACUGGGACAGAAGGGAUAGGGAACGGAGCUAUGAUCGUGAAAGGGAUCCCUACCAUGACAGGGAUAGUGAUAGAUCCCGUGAGCAUGAUAGAGAAAGAGAUUAUGAGCAUGGUGGCUUUAAUCGAGAAAUUGACUAUCCCAUGGAUCGAGAUCAUGAAGUAGACGAGAGACGUCCUAGAGAACAUGAUCGUGCAGCUGAAAUGCAUAAUAUGGAUUCAGAUAAUGACAAAGAUAGGGAGCAUGGAACAAGAAAAAGGUUCAGGUGACAUGUUGAUUUUGUUUUUCAUAGUGGAGUUAUGUUGAUAUUGCUAACCAUGGUAGCUAUUUUUAAUAUUUGAAUGAAAACGACUUGUGUUUGAUAUAUUGAUAUGUAUAUUUUAGGUAUUUGUGGAGUGCUUAAUUGAUGUUCUUGGGCCAUUUGAAAUUAGUUUUCUAGAGCAUCUCUUAGUCCUUAACUUGGGAGUGGCAUUUCAAGAUCUUGGAACGUACUAGGGAAAUUUGAUUAUAGACAUGUUGUAUUAUACUCCCUCCAUUCCAAAUCGUAAGACAUGUACAUCUAAGUGCAUAGUAAAAGCAAUGUAUCUAGAAAAGCCAAAACAUCUUACAAUUUGGAACGGAGGGAGUAGAUAUAUAAGAAAAGGGCCAUAUUCACCUUAGAGAAGUUUGAACAGCAAUUUUUUGUGAUAUUUAUAUGUUUCCCUGCAUUACUCUCUCUAUCCACUCAAUUAUUUUUAAAGUUAAUAUAGUGAAUACUAGCUGAACAAUUAGAAUGAUGAGCAGGUUUGAUGGUUUGUUUGCCCUAAUGUGUAAAAAUUAUUUUAUGCUGACUAGUGACCUUGCACGCAUAAACUAUACUGGGUACAUUAUUUUUUUUUAUAAGGAACUGGGUACAUUAUUGGAGACCAUGUUUGGUUACCCUUACUGUGAAAUUUACACCAUUGUUUUGUUUUGUGUUAAGUCCAGAUUUUAAUGUACUGACUACUGUCUAUUUAUAAAGAAAGGUUGUACCACUACGGGAAAUAUUUCAUGGAUUCAUGGAUCAACUAUAAUCCUUAGAAAAAAACAAGGCAUUUACUUUCCUAAUGUUCUCUAUGCAGCCGCCCGAAAGGUCGUGAUAGCAGAGAUUUAUCGAGUUCCAGUGAUGAUCUUCAAAAUGAUGUAAGUGCAUCUUCAAAAAAACCUAGGCAUUUACAUUCCUGACUCUUUAUAUCAACUCUUUUUUGUUUUCGUAAAAUUUUCAUUUCUCUCUUUUUUGUAUAUCAGGGAAAGCACCAGUUGGAUAAAACUAUUCAGAUGCGUGAGGACCUUGAAAAUGAGGCAUGCCAUUUCCUUAAAGACCUUGUUCUGUAUUAGUUUGAUCUGGAAACCAUAAAAUCAGCUCACACUAUCUCAGAGUUGGUCUAAAAUCAUGAUGGAUUUAUUUCUUUGCCAGACUCCAUUUAAAUUAACUUGCCUAUAGUGCUUUCGGAAUAUAAAGAUGAAAACAUGUUAAAUGCAAAUGUGAAAGUAAGCAAAGUUCUCCAGGCUUAAUGGAUGUAGAUUUAUGGAUAUUGGUGACCUGCAGAAUUGGAUCAUGAACUCAAUUGCAUUUGCGAGGUACAUAAAAGGAUAAAUGCCUAUUGAAUUUGUAGUCCCAUUUAGGAUUUAUCUUUUGCUUGACUUGUACAGAAAUUUUCAUAUUUAGCUCAGUUUUAUUUUGUACACUGACAUGCUUGGAUACCUCAGAUGACAGUCAUGCAUUGAUCACUGAAUGCACAGGCCUUGUUUACUUUGAAAAGCUUCACAAUUAGUUGUCUAUUGGAUUACAAUAUAUAGUAUUAUCUUUUCAGCUGAAGUUAUAUAGUACACAGGACGCACGAUCCAUGAACCAUGAUAGACUGAUAGUAUACUCAGCUACUUUUUAGAAUUUAGAUAAUAGGCAUGAGUACUUCUGUUCAUGAUUUAACUGUUUCUUGCAUUUUAUAUUAUGAACUUUGCAGGUUAACCAGAUUAAGGAUAAAAUAUCUGGAAAAGAACAGCACAUUGCAGAUUUGCAGAAGAAAGCUCAGGUGCUCUGUCAUGAUUUUCAAAGGAUUCUGCUGUCAUCAUUUGCCCCAUUCAUAUAUGAGAUAGCCACUGUUUGGCCAUCUCUUAGAUCUCAUUUGGGUUGAGUUCUGAUGAUAAGUCAUAAAAAAAAACAUUUUUCGUGUCAAACUGCAGAAAUUAGAGGAUGAACUGGAUGCCGCGCGGAAAGUCUCUUCAGAACGACAAUUAGCUGUUACAGACGUAUGUGCUCUUCACUUGUUGGCUGCUUAUUUAUCCAAGAUGCAAUUGGUAGUCCUGCAAUGGCUUUUCUGAUGAAAACAUUAUGUAUGCAGCUGUACAAACAUUUUCUUCAACUUCAAGACUACAACGAUAGGGUCAAAACGGCUGAACAGAGGCUGCAGGUAUUUUCUCAUCAUUUGUUUCUUUCAUAACUCUUGAGUUCCGUGGUCAACAAUUAUCCUGUUGUUUAGGUUUGCUUGUGUUGGCAAGUUGAGGAAGGUGUGCUGACUCUUUCUGUUUUGAUUCUACUAGUCUCUUGUUGAUGCUGCCAUGGUCGAGCUUGACAUAGCCGAAGAUGCUACUACCAGAGAUGGCUCAAUGUAUGAGAAUGGGGUGGUCUGAACACCCAAAAGGGCUGCCAGCUGUCAUGGGUUGUGAGGCUACUAAUUUGUUAGACUUGUAGUUUGGAUUUGCCAUGUAAUGAGAACUGUACUGUAACUAGAAACAGAAAAUGUUAUGUAAGGGGCCAGAAAAUGAGUGGCUGCACAUUUUUCUAUUUCUUUCCAAGUUGAAUUUAUUAGCCGUCCUGACUAUUGCUAUACGGUGUGAUGUGACCGUGAUAUGUCAGCUGUUCUGUUGAGCAAGGUUGUGUUCAUAUUUGCCUGUGUUGAUGCCUGAGCUUGACACCGUCAUCUGGUAAUAGUUGCCUAAAGUUUGUUGCCGAGCCUGACGAGAGUAGCAGCAAAUUGCAGUCAAAAGAGUACACAACCUUUUGUUUUGCUGGAAGUAAGUUUCGUUUUGCUAAAAAGGCUUAAGGUAAGGUACUGCGACUAAGGAUGAAAACGGGUUUCGUUUUGCUAAAAAGGCUUAAGGUAAGGUACUGUGACUAAGGAUGAAAACGGUCGGAAACGUCGAAAAACUCCUAAAUUAUUUUCUACUUUUACAUUUGAAAUACAAAAACGAAAACGGUAAAGUCGGACACGAAAACGAACACGAACUUACGAAAUAUCAAGAAUUGCAAAAACGAACCAAUUCGAUCGGAUUUAUGUCGAACACGGUCGAUAUACGAAAACUCAAUACGAAAACCGAUAUAUAGUACCAAGUGCAUGACUAAAAGUAUAUAUAGGAUCAAGUUCAAGUGCAUAUAAUAAUUAAAAAGUGCAUGCUUCUUAGUCUUAGGUGUUUAAUACAAUAGGCCACACAUAAAUACAAGUCUAGAAUAAACAAUUAAUAGCUAACAUGAACACAACUAGCCACUAGUAGAAAGAACGCAGAUGCAUGGUGAGUAGUUUGUAAUUGGGCUGUGUGACUCUACAGUUGACUAAAUUCGGUUUAAACCAAAUUUUGAAUUCGAAAUAUUUCAUAUUAAAAGUAGAAAAGUAGAAAACGGUCGAAAAAUGUCAAAACCGUUUUCUACUUUUAUAUUUGAAAUACGAAACAUCUAAAAUACGAAAGCGAAAACGAUAAAGUCGGAUAAAAAAAUACGAAUUCGAUCGGAUCAAAUAUAGAAAGUGGUUCGGUUCGAUUCGAGAUAUUCCGUUUUCAUCGACUAAGCGCUCGCCGCUAGGCCACUUGUAUCCCGGCCAGCCGCCGCAACUCAGCAAGGCCACCGUCACGCGGGGCUCACCGGCCGAGCGAGUUGGGUCACCGGCCUCGGGCCGUCAAAUACGGCCACGUCACGGUCAUCAGCAUCCGCACGAGGACCCCCUUCCGCUCUAGUAUCUCUGACUCUAAGUACUUAUUGUCGUCUAAUAUACAUAGCAUAAAUUUAACUCAAUGUAUAAAAAAUAUGUAAUAUUUAUAUCUCUAAAUAAGUUUAUUAAUUUAAAUAUCUUUCCAAGCUGCUCUGAGCUGUAUCCAACUGCUGAGACCUCAGGGAGAAAGAGAAAGAGAGAGAGGCCUUGUUUAGUUGAGAAGGCGAAAAGUUUUUAGAUAUUGUAGCACUUUCGUUUUUGUUUGUCCAUCAUUAUUCAAUCAUGGAUUAACUAGACUUAAAAAUUCAUCUCACAAAUUACAGAUAAAUUGUAUAAUUAGUUAUUUUUUUAUCUAUAUAUUAUAUUCUAUAUAUGUAUAACAAGAUUUGAUAUAACGAGAAAUUUUAAGAAGUUUUUAGGUUCUAGGGUAAACUAAACAAUGCCAGAGGAGAGGUCGAGAGGAGACUCCAAAGUCUACUAGAAACAGAGCAGAGCAGGCCAUCUCUGACUUGUAGCUGCCGACUGCCAAAUUGUUUGGUUUUUCUACGGGCGCCGUCGCCGUCGACGUCAACGGCCAACGGCGCAGGCCCAUCUUGACCGCUUCUCACUCAGAACCCCCUCCUGACGCAUUGCGCCACUCACUGUUGUGGCGUGGUCUGUGCUGUCUUGACUUAAUUGACCCGCGAGGGAAGGAUAACUAUUAAUUAAGGCCUUGUACUGAUUUUUUAACACCUAUCACAUCAAAUAUUUAGACAUAUACAUCAAGUAUUAAAUACGAACUAUCUACAAAAUUAAAAAUAUAAAAUAAUUUACGAGACUAUCUUUCGAACCUAAUUAGUUCAUGAUUGAAUAUUAAUUGCUAAAUAAAAUAAAAAUAUUAUAAUACCUGCUAAACUUUAGCACCUUCAACCAAACACGCUCUGAUUAACACGGGUGGCUAACGUUGGUUACUCUACCCACUUAUCCUGGACGUGACGGCAAUUGGGAAAGGCGACGAUUUUUAUUUAUUUUUGGUGUGCAAGACAACUGUUCGUCCCGACCGGUGAAGGAAGCAAUGAACGAAUGCACGGCAAGUACGCCCGGUCGUCCAGGACACGAGAGACCUCAUCAGAUCAGCGACAGCGAACUGUUCGGGCCCGGUCAAGCCGCGCACAGCGGAGCCCGUUCAAACUUUCAAACGGUCAAACUAUUUACGCUGCACUCGCCAAUACGAAAGCAGUAGGAAACUGCUAAUAGAUUCUAACGGCCGAAUUUCCCGCGAAUCAAGUGAGCGACGUGCCCGCCACCUAAGGAAAGAGAAUAAUCAACAAACUGCUUAAGAGCCUUAAGCUACAAGAUCAAAAGAAUCCCCUGGCGCUGCUUGCCUAGGCAGCUACACUCAGCUCGGCCUGUUUGGAACAAAGAAAUAAAAAAAAAUACAGAGACCGAAGAAAAUAGAAGAAUAGCAAAAAGAAUGAAAAUGUAAAAACAGAUAAUUUUAUAGAAACAGGUGUUUGAAACAGAUGAACAUUUAACUGCUAUAGGAAUUUUAGAGUUAGCUGGAAACUCAAUGCUUUAAAUUAAAAUUAACAGUAAAUACUUUUCCUUUUUAGAAAUCUGGUAUGUAUAUAUCAAAUAAAGCAUGGAAGAGGGGCCCCCACAAGUACAUUGAAAAAAUAAAUUAUAGGAACUGCAUGUCCUCUGUUUUUCCUACGUUCUUCCUGCCAAACAGGGUAAAAUAAGAGCCCUGCCAAAUGUCCACGGUGGCAAAUAAUAAUGCAGAGGCGUUGAACACUUACGCACUAAUUCACCUUCCUCUCGACGAGCAUUAGCGCGCGCAGGUAUUUAUACCACAUCGCCACUUCCUCGUUCCUCAGACACUAACACCUCUCUCUCCCUUCCUCUUCCUCUUCCUCUUCAUCGUCUUCUUCACGGAGAUCGGCAAGCUACAAGAGUACUCCAGCUACAGUAGAAAGACAAAGAACAGAGUCAAGCACUCAAGCUCGAGCAGGGAGAAGAACUGGAGAAGUGAACGGGAAAGACAAAGAACGGAGGGGGUUUGACAUCAGUCGAGGAUGGAUUUAGUGCGGAUGGGGAGCAUCGCCAGCGGGAGCAUGCGGCGGACGGCGUCGUCGUGGCGGGGGUCCGGGCGGAGCGACGCCUUCGGCCGGUCCGUGCGGGAGGAGGACGACGAGGAGGCGCUGCGAUGGGCGGCCAUCGAGAAGCUGCCCACCUACGACCGCAUGCGCAAGGGCAUCCUCACGGGCGCCGGCGCCGGCGGCGGUAUCGAGGAGGUGGACAUCCAGGGGCUCGGCAUGCAGGAGCGCCAGAACCUCAUCGAGCGCCUCGUGCGCACCGCCGAGGAGGACAACGAGCGCUUCCUGCUCAAGCUCCGCGACCGCAUGGAGCGGUGAGCACUCGCCCACUACUCUUGCUUUGCUUCAGUUGUCCUUGGACUGGAAACAAAAAAAAAUUCAGAUUUCAGAUGGACUUCACUUGGGAAAUGAUCUGCACAAGCAUCAGGAAUCAUUUCAUUGUGCAGCAAAUCAUGGAGAAGCAUCUCGUGCUAUGUAUUCAGUAACUUAUUCAUGACUUCUUCUUUUUUGUUUUUUCAGAGUUGGGAUCGACAAUCCGACGAUAGAAGUGCGGUUUGAGAACCUGAACAUCGACGCCGAGGCCUACGUCGGCAACCGAGGUGUCCCGACGAUGACCAACUUCUUCUCCAACAAAGUCAUGGUAUGCAUCUCAUCUGCAGAAAGGCACCUUGAUGCUUCCUACUUCCUAGCCAUGGAAAAAGAAAAAACUUGUCAAGUUCCUUCAGCUACUAAUUCUUGUGAGAUGUUCUUCUCACAGGAUGCACUAAGCGCUAUGCACAUCGUUUCGAGUGGGAAGAGACCUAUCUCUAUCCUUCACGAUAUCAGUGGAAUCAUAAGACCGGGCAGAAUGUCUUUGCUGCUUGGCCCUCCUGGCUCCGGGAAAACAAGUCUGCUUCUGGCUUUGGCAGGAAAACUUGACUCAGCUCUGAAGGUACCACACCUUGCAAUACUUUCUUGAUUGUCAACCUCUUUUUCUUAAAAGAGAUUGAUUGUCGACUUCUAAAUCCUAGGCCAAGAAAAAGUAUGUAUUUGGGAGAAAGAUAGCUGUAAUUUGUACAAAAAUGAAUGAACUUGCAAUGAAAUUUUCAGGUGUCAGGAAGAGUAACCUACAAUGGUCAUGACAUGGAUGAAUUUGUCCCUCAGAGGACAUCGGCAUACAUCGGGCAGCAUGAUGUUCACGUCGGCGAAAUGACAGUUCGGGAAACACUUGCCUUCUCUGCAAGAUGUCAAGGAGUUGGAACACGUUAUGGUACAUAACAUUGACAUUGAAAAGGAACAAACAAAAUUAUUCACCUUUGGUAAAGAGAACCUGAUGGUGUUUUCAAUUACAGACAUGCUUACUGAACUUUCAAGAAGGGAGAAAGAAGCCAACAUUAAGCCAGAUCCUGAUAUCGAUGUUUACAUGAAGGUAAAGUUCAUUUAAUUCAAAUCAAACCCUGUAUUUACGUUGGAAGUAACAAAGGUUACUCAACGUUAUUGUGUGCCUCUAUGCAAACAGGCUAUCUCCGUGGAAGGACAGGAGAGUGUGGUCACAGAUUACAUCCUCAAGGUCAGUAAAAAUAUACUGCACAAAAAUAGAAAAUAGGAGAAAUGGGUAUGCCCCUAACAGUACCUGUACUUCUUUUGCAGAUUCUGGGUCUGGAGAUCUGUGCAGAUACAAUGGUUGGAGACUCUAUGAUCAGAGGUAUCUCAGGAGGACAAAAGAAGCGUGUUACAACCGGUAUGUGCAAUAUGCAGUUAAAUUAAAACUUGUGCAUCAAGCCCUUCGGCCCUGAUCGAAAAAUCUGACUCAAUGUCUUGUUGAAUUUUCACAGGUGAGAUGCUUGUUGGUCCAGCUAAGGCGCUAUUCAUGGAUGAAAUCUCCACCGGUCUGGACAGCUCCACAACAUAUCAGAUCGUCAACUCUCUAAGGCAGUCGGUCCACAUCCUUGGUGGAACUGCACUUAUUGCAUUGCUUCAGCCUGCGCCUGAAACAUACGAGCUCUUCGAUGACAUUGUCCUCCUCUCUGAGGGCCAAAUUGUAUACCAGGGUCCUCGGGAGAAUGUCCUUGAAUUCUUUGAGGCCAUGGGCUUCAAAUGUCCUGAGAGAAAAGGUGUUGCAGACUUCUUGCAAGAAGUGAGUGAUCCUGAAGAAUCCUAUUUACUGCACGUUCAAACUUGGAGCCCAAUUUGACAUUGCUCUCUGUGAUCACAGGUUACAUCUAGGAAGGAUCAGCACCAGUACUGGUGCAGAAGAGACGAGCGAUACAGAUACAUCUCAGUUAAUGACUUUUCAGAGGCAUUCAAAGCAUUCCACGUUGGGCGUAAGCUGGGAUCAGAGCUCAUGGAGCCCUUCGAUCGCACCAGGAACCAUCCUGCAGCUCUCACAACGUCAAAGUAUGGUAUCAGCAAGAUGGAGCUUCUCAGAGCAUGCUUCUCUAGGGAGUGGCUACUGAUGAAGAGGAACUCAUUUGUUUAUAUCUUCAAAGUAGUCCAGGUAUUCAUCCUGCUUCCAGAAAUCUUCUCAACUUCCAAAUUCAGAUAGUAAAUUCUGAUGAAUGUUCCAUAUUUGCACCAGCUCAUAAUUCUUGGAACCAUUGCAAUGACGGUCUUCCUGCGCACGACAAUGCAUCGACGUAGUGUCGAAGAUGGUGUGAUAUUUCUGGGCGCCAUGUUCCUUGGACUAGUCACACAUUUGUUCAAUGGUUUUGCUGAACUCGCCAUGAGUAUUGCAAAGCUGCCGAUAUUCUAUAAGCAGAGGGACCUCCUCUUCUAUCCAUCAUGGGCAUAUGCACUGCCUACAUGGUUGCUAAAGAUACCAAUAUCAUUCUUGGAAUGCGCUGUGUGGAUUGGCAUGACUUACUAUGUCAUUGGCUUUGAUCCAAACAUCGAAAGGUUCUUUCGCCAUUACCUGCUGCUCGUACUAAUCAGCCAGAUGGCAUCUGGACUUUUCCGGCUUCUUGCUGCACUAGGAAGAGAAAUGGUUGUCGCAGACACAUUUGGGUCAUUCGCGCAGCUUGUUCUUCUGAUUCUUGGUGGCUUCUUGAUAGCAAGAGGUAAGACAAGUCUUCAUUCACCCAUUGCUUUGAUAGUUCCAGGAGCAUGUAAUUGAGUUUUCUUCUUCAGAUAACAUCAAGAAAUAUUGGAUCUGGGGCUAUUGGUCCUCCCCUCUGAUGUAUGCCCAGAAUGCCAUAGCAGUGAAUGAGUUCCUUGGCCAUAGCUGGCAGAAGGUAAUGUAGUGACUUCUGAACCAAUCUAAGAUAUGAUCACUCUAAAGAUCAGAGAGACAGCUGAGUUAACAAACAAUGUCAAUCUCUGUGCAGGUUGUCGAUAGCACACAAAGCAACGACACACUCGGUGUUGAAAUCCUAAAGGCCCGCGGCAUCUUUGUCGAUCCAAACUGGUAUUGGAUUGGUGUUGGUGCAUUGCUUGGGUAUAUCAUGCUCUUCAACGUACUCUUCGUUCUGUUCCUUGACUGGCUUGGCCGUGAGUACCCUCUUUUCUCAAAAGGAUCAGUCCACACACUUGAAAACAUCGCAUUUGGGACUAACAUAAUUCUUGUAAACACAGCACUUGGACAAGGUCAGGCCGUUGUUUCUGAAGAGGAGCUGCGGGAGAAGCAUGUAAACCGUACUGGUGAAAAUGUUGAGUUGCUGCCUCUUGGAACAGCUUCCCAGAAUUCGCCUUCAGAUGGUCAGUCAUAAGCAGAUCUCCAUGCAACAUAAAUCAGAUAAUACAUGUCAUUGUUCCAUCAUUGUAACAAGUCCAUAAAAAAUGCAGGAAGAGGAGAAAUUGCUGGAGCUGAAACCAGGAAGAGAGGAAUGGUACUUCCAUUUAUGCCGUUGUCCAUCACCUUUGACAAUGUCAAAUACUCGGUGGACAUGCCUCAGGUAAGCAUAAAUUAGAAGAUCUGUCUUAUCACAAAAACACAAACUGAUAAUACUAAAUAGUAAUUAAUAAUUGUAUGACUCUUUGAUAGGAAAUGAAAGACAAAGGUAUUACUGAAGACCGUCUACUGCUGCUGAAGGGUGUAAGUGGAGCCUUCAGACCAGGAGUCCUUACAGCACUGAUGGGAGUCAGUGGAGCGGGUAAGACUACCCUGAUGGAUGUGUUGGCGGGAAGGAAAACUGGUGGUUACAUUGAAGGAGAUAUUUCAAUCUCUGGAUACCCAAAGAAACAAGAGACCUUUGCUCGGAUUGCUGGCUACUGUGAGCAAAAUGAUAUCCAUUCUCCACAUGUCACUGUUUAUGAAUCCCUCCUGUACUCCGCAUGGCUCCGGUUGCCCCAUGAAGUGGAUUCAGAAGCAAGAAAGGUAGGUCAAAAUUGUCUUCAUUCUGCUCGCUCUUAAGCAACACAGUAACAUUUAGCAACCGAUAGUGCUUGGCUAAUCAGAUCACUUCAUGGGUGCAGAUGUUUGUGGAAGAAGUCAUGGAACUCGUGGAAUUGACACCACUGAGGGGAGCAUUGGUAGGACUGCCAGGAGUAAAUGGUUUAUCCACAGAACAGAGGAAGAGACUCACCAUUGCUGUUGAGCUCGUGGCCAACCCAUCCAUCAUAUUCAUGGAUGAACCAACUUCAGGACUAGAUGCAAGGGCAGCUGCAAUCGUGAUGAGGACAGUCCGAAAUACGGUGGAUACUGGAAGGACGGUUGCCUGCACAAUCCACCAGCCUAGCAUUGAUAUCUUUGAAGCUUUCGAUGAGGUAAGUGGCAACAACCAUAAAACAAGGUUCUUCCAAUGGUAUUUAUUUAACUCUGGAAGUAACACCCAUAUGUCUUCUUGUACUCUGCAGCUAUUUCUGAUGAAACGGGGAGGGGAAGAAAUAUAUGUUGGACCUUUGGGACGCAACUCAUGCCAUCUGAUUGACUACUUUGAGGUGAGCUUCAGCACUCACCUAUUGAACAAACACAUUCAACUUCCAACUUAUGGCAGCCACAUAACAUUGCUUCGUGCUUCAAAUGCAGGGAAUAGAAGGAGUAAAGAAAAUCAAGGAUGGUUACAACCCUGCAACAUGGAUGUUGGAAGUGACCACCUUAGCUCAAGAAGAUAUCCUUGGAAUCAACUUUGCUGAAGUAUACAGAAACUCUGACCUGUACCGGUAUGUUCAAUCAGAUUAACCUCAUAAUGGUGUUUAGGCUUUAUCUGUGCUGUGUUUCAUGUCACUGAUUGGAAUGCAUCAUUGCAGGAGGAACAAAGCUUUGAUUAGUGAACUAAGCACACCACCACCAGGGUCCAAGGACUUGUACUUCCCAACCCAGUAUUCACAGUCCUUCCUUACACAAUGCAUGGCUUGCCUGUGGAAGCAGCACAUGUCUUACUGGAGAAAUCCAUCAUAUACCGCGACUAGAAUCUUCUUCACAACAGUUAUUGCUCUCAUCUUCGGAACCAUCUUCUUAAACUUAGGAAAGAAAAUGUAAGUACCUUUGCUUACAGCACUGACUGAGACCCGAUAUAUGUUGGCAUAUUGUGACAAAGAAACUUACCUGUACUUUGUCUUUUAUUUCAGUGGCACCAGGCAGGACCUGUUGUAUGCUUUGGGAUCCAUGUAUGCAGCAGUUCUUUUCAUUGGAAUUCAGAAUGGUCAAACUGUGCAGCCAAUUGUGGACGUUGAGCGAACAGUUUUCUACCGAGAAAAGGCAGCUGGCAUGUACUCUGCUCUACCCUAUGCUUUUGCACAGGUAAUUGGUUGUAACUGAACAUUUGGAUAAUAGGAAAUAAUUUGCUCUUUUCUUCCUUCAACCUAGAGCUGAGUUCUAACAAUUUUUACCUUUGAAUAGGUCCUUAUUGAGAUCCCACACAUCUUCCUUCAGACAGUCGUGUAUGGUCUCAUUGUCUACAGCCUGAUUGGCUUUGAAUGGACAGCUGAGAAGUUCUUCUGGUAUAUGUUCUUCAUGUUCUUCACCUUCAUGUACUUCACGUUCUAUGGGAUGAUGGCAGUCGCCAUGACACCAAACAGUGACAUUGCCGCUAUAGUCUCAACUGCAUUCUACGCAAUAUGGAACAUCUUUGCCGGCUUCCUUAUCCCCCGCCCGGUAAGUGUCCAAGAGUAACUCUUGUACUAUGCUACACCUCAAUUUUCUCUGUACUGUUGAUGCUGAAGCAUACAUGGCUGGCUUGCAGAGGAUACCAAUAUGGUGGAGAUGGUACUCGUGGGCUUGCCCAGUGGCUUGGACACUAUAUGGACUUGUUGCCUCACAAUUUGGAGACAUCACAGACGUCAGGCUGGAAGAUGAUGAAAUAGUGAAAGAUUUCGUCAACAGAUUCUUUGGAUUCCAGCAUGACAACUUGGGUUAUGUAGCUACUGCUGUUGUUGGAUUCACUGUUCUCUUUGCUUUCGUCUUUGCCUUCUCCAUCAAAGUCUUCAACUUCCAGAGAAGAUAAGAGAGGGUGCCAUCUAAAAAAAAUUUGUUGUUGCUUCAGCUAACUUUCAGUAUAUAGGCACUGCAGCAAUGUAAAAUGAUGACCCGUGAGAGAGUAUAUAUGUAGGCUUUGUUUCUUUCUAGGAAGUUAACAUCAUUUUUUGUUUUCCGACCAGUUUGGCCUGUACUGAACAGAAAGGGGCCUCUGUGUAAAAUUGUAUGUAGACUGUGCACAAUUGAGUUCAAUACUUCAAUGUAAGAUCUCCCAUUAAAUUUAUACCUUUUGUCCAACUGAGACUUGCCUCAAGAUUUAGUCCAUUGCAGAAUGAGAAUAGCCUGAGUGAAAAAAAAAAAGCUUGUUCGCUUGAGCUUAUCAGCCAUUCAGCAGUGUUUUUCUCUCGCAACAAAUCAGCCAAAAGUACUUUCGGUUCACAGAGAUACUUGAGGAAGUCCAUAAAUAUUAGGAACACAAAUAAACUGAACAUUCAGAAAUUAGAAGCAGCAUCCCUCUCACUGCUGACGGACAGCAACUCUACCACUAAGUGGCUAGGGAUCCUAAAUUGCGCGUAAUCCGAACCCAAUUCAUAUCCCGAAUGAAGAAGAUCAUCAAAUGACUUGUCGUAAUUCCUAUGCAGAACCCAGAAAGGUGCCCCGACCAGCAAAAGAGCCGAGGAAAGGCAGGUGCGAGUAGGAGUAAAUCCCAAAUCAACCUCUUUCCCAUCGGCAGGCUUGGUAAAGGUGAGUAAUGGAUCACAUUUUGCGGCGCAAAACUGCUCAAUGGAAUGAUAAAUCGCGAGACUAUCACCUGCAGCCGUAGCUCCCAUUGCUCGCGCCAGCCGCCGCAGGCCGCAGGCCGCAGCCCAUGCCAUACGCCAAGCACAUGCAGGACAAAGACGGAACCGCAGGCUGGGUACGGAACAAGCCACCGUGGAGGCUCGUUACGCCGACGGCCGGAAUGGUCCGCCACCGAUGCGGGGGUUUGCGCGACUCUGGCGGGCGCGUGGGGUUUGGGUGGGUGAAAUUUCGCUGAACCUGAAACAGAUACCGAUUUAAUGGUAACUGAACUUUUUAUCAGCUAUUCCAAGAAGACUUUGGCGUUUUGUCAUUAACCGAUUUUCUUGUGUUAUAUAUUAAAUAAUUAUGUCCAUUUGCACAUUCAAACAUUUUUUAUAGUGACUUUAUUUGUUAAAAGUAUUAUUUGUUGUUUUUCCUUUUUGUUUUAUUACAAGGAUGUAUUUCUGGUUAGUUAUUCCGUCAUUAUCCUCUUAUAAUAGUGUUAACUUUUGUACAAAAGAAAAAAUAUACAAAUGUGAUUUUGCUCCCUUUUCAAUGUUACUAGCAAAACAUGCCCGUGCGUUGCAACGGGGAAAAAAUAUCGAAUGUUAAUAACAAACAACGAUAGAAAUAAGACAUCUAUUUAUGUGGGAGCCGGGGAAGAACAUCAUUGUUACUAUAGGUAAAUAGAUACUUCAUCUGUCCCAAAAUAAGUGAUACUUUUAACUUUGAGGCAUCUUAUUUGACCGUUCAUCUUAUUCAAAAUUUGAUAUAAAUAUUAUCUAUUUUGUUGUGACCUUUUAUUAUUAGAUAUACUUUAAUAAUAAUUUAUUUAUUUAUCAUUUAUAAAAAAAUAUGAAUAAGACAAAUAAUCAAACAAUUUGUCUAGAAGUCAAAAACAUGAUGUAUUUUAGGACGUAGGGGGUAUAAGAUUGUACUUUACUACGUUUAUUGUCAUUUAAUUAAGUAUCAAUCUAAUUUUUUUUCUCUAGAGGACCAUCAUCAUUCAAUUAGAACUUAGAAGACUACUUAUAUUUUCUCUAAACGUUAGUGAUUUUAUGCCAAGGAGAUUAGAAGCAAUUUUCAAAGAUAUUUUUAUACUUUUGCUUCAAUUUUUUUUGUUUUCUAUAACCUUUCAUGGGCACACCAUAUUUGAGUUAGACAACACGUUAUCUCAUAUGGAUUCCAUGCUACUAAAUAACUUAUCAUUUGUGCUUAUGGAUAAAUAACAUAUAUUAUUCACGAUAGCUUAUCAUUUAAUCUCACUAAUGUGAUAAAGUCAAUAUCUCAGAAUAAAAUUUUUUUUCCACAGUAACCUUUUACCCAAAGAAAAAUCUAGGCAUGGGUGGGACCCACUACCAGACAAUUUCUAGGCAUGGGAGAUGGGGAGAUGUAUCUAGCUCCACUACCGGACAAUUUGCGUCUCCACGCGACCACGCCUUCCAUCUCCACACCGCCCAUCCAAUUCUUAUCUCGGUGCUCCGUAGCUAUGCGGCUCGCGAGGGCACAACCCAUGCGGCAGGCGAGCAUGAGGCUGUGUUCCGGGCGGCGGCAGGCGAGAGCACGUCCUGGGCGCGGCAGGCGAGCGCGAGGCCGUGAACCGGGCGGCGGCAAGCGAGCGCGCAUCUCGGACAGCAGUAGGCAAGCGCGAGGCCGUGUCCCGGUCGGCAGCAGGCGAGGGCUCGUCCCCUAUCUUCGAGACCCAGGAUACCUCUGGGGCAGCGGAUCUUUUUUCUCUUAAGCUACCGCCGAUUCCGAGCCGGAUGGAUUUAGGUGGCGGCAGAAAAAAGUGGGCAGACUGAAAUUCUGCCUCUUUAUAUAUAGGUAUAGAUUUGUGAUUUUACCUAUAAUUUGGAAUAAGAUAUUUAUAUUGUAUUUUGACAAUAAAUGGUUAAGGGUCAAAUAUAUUUGGCACAAUUUGUAAUUAUUUCAAAUCAAAUUUAAUAUUGAAAAAAAAACAGAUAUAUGUGGUCAUGUUAGUAUAGGAAAAAGUCUAUAUCACCCCCUAAACUAUAGGGUGGUGUCUACUUUACCCCCGAACUAUGAAACUGUCUAAUUUAUCCUCUGAACUAUUCUUUUUUCUAUUUGUUUUCGCUGAAUCUUUGAAAAAACAUAGUAAAUCAUAAAAAAAUCAUAAAA
RNAcentral lists this long non-coding RNA (22219 nucleotides) under Sorghum bicolor (sorghum). Its description in RNAcentral is "long non-coding RNA (SBIC_LNC006023)". Lineage: Eukaryota; Viridiplantae; Streptophyta; Magnoliopsida; Poales; Poaceae. The record is from RNAcentral.